CAUGCAAGUCGAGCGGGGGAAGGUAGCUUGCUACUGGACCUAGCGGCGGACGGGUGAGUAAUACUUAGGAAUCUGCCUAUUAGUGGGGGACAACGUUCCGAAAGGAGCGCUAAUACCGCAUACGCCCUACGGGGGAAAGCAGGGGAUCUUCGGACCUUGCGCUAAUAGAUGAGCCUAAGUCGGAUUAGCUAGUUGGUGGGGUAAAGGCUUACCAAGGCGACGAUCU
RNAcentral lists this ribosomal RNA (226 nucleotides) under uncultured bacterium. Its description in RNAcentral is "partial 16S ribosomal RNA". It matches the Rfam family "Bacterial small subunit ribosomal RNA", at positions 54 to 282 of the family's 1533-position model. The record is from RNAcentral.